UACGUAGGGUGCGAGCGUUAAUCGGAAUUACUGGGCGUAAAGCGUGCGCAGGCGGUUUUGUAAGCCAGAUGUGAAAUCCCCGGGCUUAACCUGGGAAUGGCAUUUGGGACUGCAAGGCUCGAGUGCGGCAGAGGAGACUGGAAUUCCUGGUGUAGCAGUGAAAUGCGUAGAUAUCAGGAGGAACACCAGUGGCGAAGGCGGUGCUCUGGGCCGGAACUGACGCUGAGAAGCGAAAGCGUGGGGAGCAAACAGG
RNAcentral lists this ribosomal RNA (253 nucleotides) under uncultured bacterium. RNAcentral describes it as "partial 16S ribosomal RNA". It matches the Rfam family "Bacterial small subunit ribosomal RNA", at positions 524 to 776 of the family's 1533-position model. The record is from RNAcentral.